This 171-nucleotide ribosomal RNA is filed under the name uncultured Eubacteriales bacterium. RNAcentral's name for it is "uncultured Clostridiales bacterium partial 16S ribosomal RNA". It matches the Rfam family "Bacterial small subunit ribosomal RNA", at positions 337 to 525 of the family's 1533-position model. Lineage: Bacteria; Bacillati; Bacillota; Clostridia; Eubacteriales. The record is from RNAcentral.
UCCUACGGGAGGCAGCAGUGGGGAAUAUUGCACAAUGGGGGGAACCCUGAUGCAGCAACGCCGCGUGAGCGAUGAAGGUCUUCGGAUUGUAAAGCUCUGUCUUCGCUGACGAUAAUGACGGUAAGCGAGCAGGAAGCCACGGCUAACUACGUGCCAGCAGCCGCGGUAAUA